Homarus americanus (American lobster) is the source of this 305-nucleotide long non-coding RNA. RefSeq lists it as uncharacterized. The record is from RefSeq and is a predicted model, not a curated record. Lineage: Eukaryota; Metazoa; Arthropoda; Malacostraca; Decapoda; Nephropidae. The transcript has 3 exons.
AUAUAACUUUGGGUGGAUCAUGGAGAUUGAAGAAUUGUGUUUUCACCAGUACACUUGCCAUCACAGCAGGUAAUUGUCCAAUAAGGGCUACUGUCCAUCGACUUUGGGUGGAUCAUGGAGAUUGAAGAAAUGUGUUUUCACCAGUACACUUGCCAUCACAGCAGGUAAUUGUCCAAUAAGGGCUACUGUCCAUCGACUUUGGGUGGAUCAUGGAGAUUGAAGAAUUGUGUUUUCACCAGUACACUUGCCAUCACAGCAGGUAAGAUGUGUCCCUUUUUUAACUACAGUACAGGUGCUUUUCUUCU